AAGCUGUAAUGGCUCGGAUGGAGAGACAAUCCCUUUGUCAACUGGUGGGGUGGUGUUAACGGGUUCGAGUCUCGCAGUUGAUCCUCUGAUUCCUCCACACACUCUGGCGGGUAGCCGCCCGGCAGUGGUGAGGAUUAAACACAGGGCCACCGGCGGAGGUUGGCAACAACGCACGUCAACCCUGGGUCAGAGGCAGUGCGACUGCGACAGGAUUCACUCGAGCUGUCCCGGCAGGGAAGGGGGUCUCCACAUCUUUUU
Molecule: signal recognition particle RNA, 258 nt
Filed under: Schizosaccharomyces japonicus yFS275
Lineage: Eukaryota; Fungi; Ascomycota; Schizosaccharomycetes; Schizosaccharomycetales; Schizosaccharomycetaceae
Description: fungal signal recognition particle RNA
Rfam family: Fungal signal recognition particle RNA
Source: RNAcentral